This 459-nucleotide ribosomal RNA is filed under the name uncultured bacterium. RNAcentral describes it as "partial 16S ribosomal RNA". It matches the Rfam family "Bacterial small subunit ribosomal RNA", at positions 338 to 795 of the family's 1533-position model. The record is from RNAcentral.
CCUACGGGAGGCAGCAGUGAGGAAUAUUGGUCAAUGGGCGCGAGCCUGAACCAGCCAAGUCGCGUGAGGGAAGACGGUCCUAUGGAUUGUAAACCUCUUUUGUCGGGGAGCAAAAGACUCCACUAGUGGCGUUCCGAUGGUACCCGAAGAAAAAGCAUCGGCUAACUCCUUGCCAGCCGCCUCGGUAAUACGGAGGAUGCCAGCGUUAUCCGGAUUUAUUGGGUUUUAAGGGUGCGCAGGCGGAAGAUCACUUCAGCGGUAAAAGUGAGGGGCUCAAGAUCGUGGUGCCGUUGAAACUGGUUUUCUUGAGUGAGCGAGAAGUAUGCGGAAUGCGUGGUGUAGCGGUGAAAGGCAUAGAUAUCACGCAGAACUCCGAUUGCGAAGGCAGCAUACCGGCGCUCAACUGACGCUGAUGCACGAAAGUGUGGGUAUCGAACAGGAUUAGAUACCCCUGUAGUC